CCAACAGCUAGCUUACUACUUAAUAACUAAACAAUAUAAAUAAAACAAAAUAAGCCUGACACCAAAAACUAAACCAUUUUUUUACCUGAGUAUGGGAGACAGAAAAGGUUCCACAAAGCGAUAGAAAUAGUACCGCAAGGGAAAGCUGAAAGAGAAAUGAAAUAACCCAUAUAAGCACUAAAAAGCAAAGAUUAAACCUCGUACCUUUUGCAUCAUGAUUUAGCCAGUACACCCAAGCAAAGAGACCUUUAGUUUGAAACCCCGAAACCAGGUGAGCUACCCCGAGACAGCCUAUUAAGGGCCAACCCGUCUCUGUGGCAAAAGAGUGGGAAGAGCUCCGGGUAGAAGUGACAGACCUACCGAACCUGGUGAUAGCUGGUUGCCUAAGAAAUGAAUAGAAGUUCAGCCUCGUGCACCUCAAAUCACACAAACAAAACAAGACUAAGAGAAACACAUGAGAGUUAGUUAAAGGGGGUACAGCCCCUUUAACAAAGGACACAACCUUUCCAGGAGGAUAAAGAUCAUAAUACAUAAAACAUACUGUUCUAGUGGGCCUAAAAGCAGCCAUCUAAACAGAAAGCGUUAAAGCUCAGACAGAAAAAAGUUUAUUAUCCCGAUAAAAAAUCUUACUCCCCUAAGUACUAUUAGGCCAACCCAUGCCCCCAUGGAAGAGAUUAUGCUAAAAUGAGUAACAAGAAGGCCCGCCCUUCUCCAAGCACAAGUGUAAGCCAAACCGGACCAACCAUUGGCAACUAACGAACUCAAUCAAAGAGAGCAAUGUGAAUUACAAAAAAACCAAGAAAAAUCCACAACUAAGCUAUCGUUACCCCCACACUGGAGUGCCCUAAAGGAAAGACUAAAAGAAAAGGAAGGAACUCGGCAAACACAAGCCUCGCCUGUUUACCAAAAACAUCGCCUCCUGCAACGCAACCAAGUAUAGGAGGUCCAGCCUGCCCAGUGACUACAAGUUCAACGGCCGCGGUAUUUUGACCGUGCAAAGGUAGCGCAAUCACUUGUCUUUUAAAUAGAGACCUGUAUGAAUGGCUAAACGAGGGCUUAACUGUCUCCCCUUUCAAGUCAGUGAAAUUGAUCUACCCGUGCAGAAGC
RNAcentral lists this ribosomal RNA (1107 nucleotides) under Cyprinus rubrofuscus. RNAcentral's name for it is "partial large subunit ribosomal RNA". It matches the Rfam family "Bacterial large subunit ribosomal RNA", at positions 159 to 2062 of the family's 2925-position model. The record is from RNAcentral. Lineage: Eukaryota; Metazoa; Chordata; Actinopteri; Cypriniformes; Cyprinidae.